RNAcentral lists this ribosomal RNA (488 nucleotides) under Duplicaria tricincta. RNAcentral describes it as "Granuliterebra tricincta partial 16S ribosomal RNA". It matches the Rfam family "Bacterial large subunit ribosomal RNA", at positions 1851 to 2598 of the family's 2925-position model. The record is from RNAcentral. Lineage: Eukaryota; Metazoa; Mollusca; Gastropoda; Neogastropoda; Terebridae.
AGUCGAGCCUGCCCGGUGAAUAUUUUUAACGGCCGCGGUACUCUGACCGUGCAAAGGUAGCAUAAUCAUUUGCCUUAUAAUUGAAGGCUAGUAUGAAUGGUUUGACAAGAAUAUAGCUGUCUCUAUAUAAUUUAGUAGAAUUUUAUAUUUAGGUGAAAAAGCCUUGAUAUGAUUAAAAGACAAGAAGACCCUAUCGAGCUUUAAAUAAAUUAAUAGAUGUAGUUAUUUAUAUUUUAUAAAAAGAUAACUAUUAAAGAUUUUGGUUGGGGCGACUAAGGAACAGGAGAAGCUUCCUUUGUAAAAUGUUUUAACAUAUAAGUAUUGAUCCAUAUUUAGUGAUUAAAAAAAUUAGUUACCGUAGGGAUAACAGCAUUAUCUUUUUUGAGAGUUCUUAUCGAAAAAAAGGUUUGUGACCUCGAUGUUGGACCAGAAUGUCCUAAAGAUGUAGAAGUCUUUAAGGGUUGGUCUGUUCGACCAUUAAAAUUCUA